AACUAUAACGGUCCUAAGGUAGCGAAAUUCCUUGUCAGGUAAGUUCUGACCCGCACGAAAGGCGUAAUGAUUUGAACACUGUCUCAACAAUGUACCCGGCGAAAUUGUAGUACUAGUGAAGAUGCUAGUUACCUGCGACAAGACAGAAAGACCCCAUGGAGCUUUACUGCAGCUUGAUACUGGGUUUUGGUAAUUUAUGUACAGGAUAGGUGGGAUACUAAGAAGCAAGUGCGCCAGCAUUUGUGGAGUAGACGUUGGGAUACCACUCUUAAAUUAUUGAAAUUCUAACCUGUGAUCAUGAACUGGUCAGGGGACAAUGUCAGGCGGGCAGUUUGACUGGGGCGGUCGCCUCCUAAAGAGUAACGGAGGCGCCCAAAGGUUUCCUCAGCACGGACAGAAAUCGUGCGAAAGAGUGUAAAGGCAGAAGGAAGCUUAACUGGGAGACUGACAAGUCGAGCAGAUACGAAAGUAGGGCUUAGUGAUCCGGCGGUAGUGAGUGGAAAUGCCGUCGCUCAACGGACAAAAGUUACCCUGGGGAUAACAGGCUUAUCUCCCCCAAGAGUUCACAUCGACGGGGAGGUUUGGCACCUCGAUGUCGGCUCAUCGCAUCCUGGAGCGGAAGUACGUUCCAAGGGUUGGGCUGUUCGCCCAUUAAAGCGGUACGCGAGCUGGGUUCAGAACGUCGUGAGACAGUUCGGUCCCUAUCUGUCGUGGGCGUAGGAAGUUUGAGGAGAGCUGCCCUCAGUACGAGAGGACCGGGGUGGACAGACCAAUGGUGCACCAGUUGUCACGCCAGUGGCACAGCUGGGUAGCUAAGUCUGGAAGGGAUAAACGCUGAAGGCAUCUAAGCGUGAAGCCCCCUCCAAGAUGAGACUUCCCAUUUCGAAGGAAAGUAAGACCCCUCUAAGACGAAGAGGUUGAUAGGUCAGGGGUGUAAGCAUGGCGACAUGCUGAGCUGACUGAUACUAAUAGGUCGAGGGCUUAACCUA
This 989-nucleotide ribosomal RNA is filed under the name human gut metagenome. Its description in RNAcentral is "bacterial LSU rRNA". It matches the Rfam family "Bacterial large subunit ribosomal RNA", at positions 1938 to 2925 of the family's 2925-position model. The record is from RNAcentral.